GGAAACGACUGCUAAUACCCAAUGUGCCGAGAGGUGAAACUUUUUUAGCCUGAAGAGGAGCUCGCGUCCGAUUAGUUAGUUGGUGGGGUAAGAGCCUACCAAGACAGCGAUCGGUAGCUGGUCUGAGAGGGUGAGCAGCCACACUGGGACUGAGACACGGCCCAGACUCCUACGGGAGGCAGCAGUGGGGAAUUUUCCGCAAUGGGCGAAAGCCUGACGGAGCAAUACCGCGUGAGGGAGGAAGGCUUUUGGGUUGUAAACCUCUUUUUUCAAGGAAGAAGCAAGUGACGGUACUUGAAGAAUCAGCAUCGGCUAACUCCGUGCCAGCAGCCGCGGUAAUACGGAGGAUGCAAGCGUUAUCCGGAAUUAUUGGGCGUAAAGCGUCCGCAGGUGGCAUAUCAAGUCUGCUGUCAAAGACAGAAGCUUAACUUCUGAGAGGCAGUGGAAACUGGUAAGCUAGAGUACGGUAGGGGUUGAGGGAAUUCCCAGUGUAGCGGUGAAAUGCGUAGAUAUUGGGAAGAACACCAGUGGCGAAGGCGCUCAACUGGGCCGUAACUGACACUCAGGGACGAAAGCUAGGGGAGCGAAAGGGAUUAGAUACCC
This 603-nucleotide ribosomal RNA is filed under the name uncultured Chroococcales cyanobacterium. RNAcentral's name for it is "bacterial SSU rRNA". It matches the Rfam family "Bacterial small subunit ribosomal RNA", at positions 152 to 787 of the family's 1533-position model. Lineage: Bacteria; Bacillati; Cyanobacteriota; Cyanophyceae; Chroococcales. The record is from RNAcentral.